GUCUGCUGCAAUACCUGAGACUAAGAUAGGAUAUAUGAAGGCAACUGAUAAAGAAGGAAUAAUCUAUCUGUGAUCUGGGCUGUGGCACAAGGGAAAAGUUUACAGGCACAAGAGUAAUUCAUUAUAUAGUCCACCUUGAACUGGAAGUUGAUGGGAUCAUGAUCUGCUAGCUUGAUCAUCUUGAAAGCACCACAAAAUGAAGAUGAAACUGAUCAGGGAGGAAAAUCCUUCUUUGGUGAAGCAGGUGGAGAACUUCACCAGGAAGCUGGCAUCAGUGGCCACAAGAAUGAGACCCCGCAAGGCUGAUCAAAGGUGGAACUCCAGACAUACGGAAGAUCUUCACAGAACAGCAUUAGAGAAGGGGAAGAGUUGUAUAGCUGUCCAGUUCCUGAGCCAAAACAGCAUACCAG
This is a long non-coding RNA of Passer montanus (Eurasian tree sparrow), 410 nucleotides long. RefSeq lists it as uncharacterized. Lineage: Eukaryota; Metazoa; Chordata; Aves; Passeriformes; Passeridae. The transcript is spliced from 3 exons. The record is from RefSeq and is a predicted model, not a curated record.